RNAcentral lists this long non-coding RNA (279 nucleotides) under Elaeis guineensis (African oil palm). Its description in RNAcentral is "long non-coding RNA (EGUI_LNC017058)". The record is from RNAcentral. Lineage: Eukaryota; Viridiplantae; Streptophyta; Magnoliopsida; Arecales; Arecaceae.
GACUUUUGCUUUGAUGAGCUCUAUCCUAUCUUUAGUGGCUUUGACUGCUACUUCCCUGAGUUCUAGACAGCUUUGAUUGCCAUAAUACAGUUGCCACUAAAAGAAUAAAUUCUUAUAGUGUCUGGAUGAGGAGGAGCCUGCCUUGAACCUCGCUAACAUGCUCAAUGCCAUAGGAGAUGGUGGUUGUAAGGCAGGAUGAGGUGAGGACGAUUUUUGUCCAUCUAUCAUUGAAGGAGAUGAGGUCCGACCAGUUAGUAGGGAUGGAGUCUGAGCUGACUC